This 1048-nucleotide long non-coding RNA is filed under the name Mus musculus (house mouse). RNAcentral's name for it is "long non-coding RNA chr11:88101630-88102678". Lineage: Eukaryota; Metazoa; Chordata; Mammalia; Rodentia; Muridae. The record is from RNAcentral.
UUUUGGUUUUUCAAGACAGGGUUUCUCUGUGUAGCCCUGGCUGUCCUGGAACUCACUUUGUAGACCAGGCUGGACUCGAACUCAGAAAUCCACCUGCCUCUGCCUCCCAAGUGCUGGGAUUAAAGGCAUGUGCCACCACCACCCGGAUUUUGAAUGUCCUUUUAAUGAGGCCACUAAUAUUGUCUUUAAAGCCAGUCACAAACAGUAAAUGCAGAAACCAGGCUUGGAAGUAGACCUCCCGUCUCAUAAAACGCAACAAUGGCGGUCUUGGUUUGAGUGUGGUAAGAAGUUCUGACUCCAGGGAUCUAACCUGCAGCCUGCUGCAACCCGUGCCAUCCAGCGCAUGGGGAGUUCUCUUUAGCCAGUGAGUGUGUGUGUGGCUUGGUGUGCAGAACCAUCCAUUGUUUCCUUCAGAGUUCCCUAAAGUCACCCUGCUGUUACUAAGCAACAGAGCUGAGAAUUUCUCAGAGCCUUGGGCUCACCUCUGACCAGGCAAGGUGAGCAGGAGCAGGAGGUGUCUGGGGUUUGCUGGCUCCUGCCAUUAUGACAAGUAACAGUUAGGUCUGAGGACCCAAAAUGACGGUGGUCUAGCGGUCCCUGAUAUGGGAGUUGGAAGAUGUCUUGGUGGCAAGCAAGGCUCUUGUGGCAGGGUCCACCUUGCCUUGUGUCUGGGAUUUACCUUCCUGCUGAAACUCUCUCUGGCUGCCACAUAUUGGUGGGUAGACUCGAGAUGUGAGUUGCCUUGGCUGCUCUGCUGUUUGUUGAAUCCUCUCUGCUUCCAACCACCCAUGUAAUAAAGCAGCUAAAGUUCUCAUCUUCAAAAGAGGUCACGAGGCCGGGAUGCAGCCCAGUUGGUAGAGUGUCAAUGUACUUUCCUAGCAGGCACAAAACCCAAGGUUCAAUCCCCAACAUCCUCUAAACUGGGUAUGGUGGCAUAAGCUUGUCAUCCAAGCCUGGGGACGUGGAGGCGGAGGGCUCAGAAGUUCAAGGUCAUCCUUGGCUACAUAGAGAGCUUGAGGCCUGCCUGGGUUAUGUUAGACCCUGCCUC